This 893-nucleotide ribosomal RNA is filed under the name uncultured soil archaeon. RNAcentral's name for it is "bacterial SSU rRNA". It matches the Rfam family "Archaeal small subunit ribosomal RNA", at positions 21 to 922 of the family's 1478-position model. The record is from RNAcentral.
ACCCGACUGCUAUCAGAGUGAGAUUAAGCCAUGCGAGUCAACGUAGCAAUACGUGGCAUACGGCUCAGUAACACGUAGUCAACAUAACCAAAGGACGUGGAUAAACUCGGGAAACUGAGGCUAAACCGCGAUAGACCAAGAUACCUGGAAUGGUUUUUGAUCAAAAUCUAUAUGGCCUUUGGAUUGGACUGCGUCCGAUCAGGCUGUUGGUGAGGUAAUGGCCCACCAAACCUAUAACCGGUACGGGCUCUGAGAGGAGGAGCCCGGAGAUGGGUACUGAGAAAAGGACCCAGGCCCUAUGGGGCGCAGCAGGCGCGAAACCUCUGCAAUAGGCGAAAGCCUGACAGGGUUACUCUGAGUGACUUUCGCUAAGAAAGUCUUUUGACACCUCUAAAAACGGUGUAGAAUAAGGGGUGGGCAAGUCUGGUGUCAGCCGCCGCGGUAAUACCAGCACCCCGAGUGGUCGGGACGAUUAUUGGGCCUAAAGCAUCCGUAGCCGGCCUUACAAGUCCUCCGUUAAAUCCAACUGCUUAACAGAUGGGCUGCGGAGGAUACUAUAAGACUAGGAGGCAGGAGAGGCAAGCGGUACUCAGUGGGUAGGGGUAAAAUCCGUUGAUCCAUUGAAGACCACCAGUGGCGAAGGCGGCUUGCCAGAAUGCGCUCGACGGUGAGGGAUGAAAGCUGGGGGAGCAAACCGGAUUAGAUACCCGGGUAGUCCCAGCUGUAAACGAUGCAGACUCGGUGAUGGACCAGCUUAAUGCUAGUCCAGUGCCGCAGGGAAGCCGUUAAGUCUGCCGCCUGGGUAGUACGGUCGCAAGACUGAAACUUAAAGGAAUUGGCGGGGGAGCACCACAAGGGGUGAAGCCUGCGGUUCAAUUGGACUCAACGCCGGA